This 177-nucleotide non-coding RNA is filed under the name Clostridium saccharoperbutylacetonicum. RNAcentral's name for it is "Lysine sequence". It matches the Rfam family "Lysine riboswitch aptamer". Rfam says of the family: Riboswitches are metabolite binding domains within certain messenger RNAs that serve as precision sensors for their corresponding targets. Allosteric rearrangement of mRNA structure is mediated by ligand binding, and this results in modulation of gene expression. Lineage: Bacteria; Bacillati; Bacillota; Clostridia; Eubacteriales; Clostridiaceae. RNAcentral also lists the same sequence under 1 other name. The record is from RNAcentral.
AACUAAGAUAGAGGCGCGAAAUUUAAGAGUAAUAUUAUUUUAUUACAAGCAAACCGAUGUAAUACGAAAGGAAAUUUCGCCGAAGUAAAUAGUAAAUUGCUUUAAUACUAUUUGCUGGGCUUAUGUAGAAUAUGCAUAAGACUGUCACAAAUUAUUUUGUGGAGAGCUAUUUUCAAU